AGUAAUGUGAUAGCUGAAAGAAGCGAUAGUAAAACUUCGUACUGACGAACAGAAAUCAUCUCAGGCGGGUAUGGUGGAUAAGUGUGCAAAACAACAUGAAGUCCAAUAGCUAGACGGAACCAUAAACGUAAAGAU
RNAcentral lists this non-coding RNA (135 nucleotides) under bovine gut metagenome. The record is from RNAcentral.